This 449-nucleotide ribosomal RNA is filed under the name uncultured bacterium. Its description in RNAcentral is "partial 16S ribosomal RNA". It matches the Rfam family "Bacterial small subunit ribosomal RNA", at positions 354 to 796 of the family's 1533-position model. The record is from RNAcentral.
GUCGAGAAUCUUUCACAAUGGGGGCAACCCUGAUGGAGCGACGCCGCGUGGAGGAUAAGGUCUUCGGAUUGUAAACUCCUGUCAUGCGUGAACAAUGUUGCUUGGUUAAUACCUGGGCAAAUUGAUGGUAACGCAAGAGGAAGAGACGGCUAACUCUGUGCCAGCAGCCGCGGUAAUACAGAGGUCUCAAGCGUUGUUCGUAAUCACUGGGCGUAUAGGGUGCGUAGGUGGCGUGGUAAGUCGGAUGUGAAAGCCCUGGGCUCAACCUCGAAACUGCAUCCGAUACUGCCAUGCUAGAGUACUGGAGAGGUCACUAGAAUUCUCGGUGUAGCAGUGAAAUGCGUAGAUAUCGAGAGGAAUACCAAAGGCGUAGGCAGGUCACUGGACAGUUACUGACACUGAGGCACGAAGGCCAGGGGAGCGAACGGGAUUAGAAACCCCGGUAGUCC